GGCUCUUUGCUCACAUAAAUAUAAAGAGUCGAGCCUGCCCAGUGAAUUUUUUUUAACGGCCGCGGUACUCUGACCGUGCAAAGGUAGCAUAAUCAUUUGCCUUAUAAUUGAAGGCUAGUAUGAAUGGUUUGACGAGAGCAAUACUGUCUCCUUUUUAUUUUCAAAAACUUAACUUUUAGGUGAAGAGGCCUAAAUUUUAUUGAAGGACAAGAAGACCCUGUCGAGCUUAAAAGACAUUAUAGGAGUCUAAUAUAUUUUUAAAUAAAUUUUCUAUUAGGCUUUUUAGUUGGGGCGACUAGGGAACAAAAAAAGCUUCUUUCUAAUAAAUAAACAAUCAUGUUUAGAUCCGAUAAUAGCGAUCAAAGAAAUUAGUUACCGCAGGGAUAACAGCAUAAUCUCUCUUAAGAGGCCUAAUCGAAAGAGGGGGUUGUGACCUCGAUGUUGGACUAGAAUAUCCUAAAGAUGCAGAAGUCUUUAAGGGUCGGUCUGUUCGACCGUUAAAAUUCU
This 507-nucleotide ribosomal RNA is filed under the name Semisulcospira coreana. RNAcentral describes it as "partial 16S ribosomal RNA". It matches the Rfam family "Bacterial large subunit ribosomal RNA", at positions 1817 to 2597 of the family's 2925-position model. The record is from RNAcentral. Lineage: Eukaryota; Metazoa; Mollusca; Gastropoda; Semisulcospiridae.